AUGGCCUCUUCGUCUCUAUCAGCCGUGUUGCUCUUGUGCCUGGCCGUGGCGGCGUCGGCGCAGCUGUCGCCGACGUUCUACGACACGACGUGCCCGAACGCUCUGGCGACCAUCAAGUCCGCCGUGACGGCCGCCGUGAACAAGGAGAACCGCAUGGGCGCGUCGCUGCUCCGGCUGCACUUCCACGAUUGCUUCGUCCAAGGUUGCGACGCGUCUGUUCUGCUGUCAGGCAUGGAACAAAACGCUAUCCCGAACGUGAUGUCACUGCGAGGCUUCGAAGUCAUCGACAGCAUCAAGGCGCAGCUCGAGACCAUGUGCAAGCAGACUGUCUCCUGCGCCAUCCUCACCGUCGCCGCCCGCGACUCCGUCGUCGCCUUGGGAGGGCCUUCGUGGACAGUUCCUCUAGGAAGGAGGGACUCCACCAACGCAAACGAAGCGGCGGCGAACAACGAGCUACCUCCCCCAUUCUUCGACCUCGUAAACCUCACCCAGUCCUUCGGCGGCAAGGGCUUCACCGUGACCGACAUGGUCGCACUCUCCGGCGCCCACACCAUCGGGCAGGCGCAGUGCCAGAACUUCAGGGACAGACUCUACAACGAGACCAACAUCAACUCCGGCUUCGCGACGUCGCUCAAAGCCAACUGCCCCCAGCCGACCGGCUCCGAUGACCGCAACCUGGCCAAUCUGGACGUGUCGACUCCGUACUCCUUUGACAACGCUUACUACAGCAACCUCAAGUCCCAGAAGGGGCUCCUGCACUCCGACCAUGUGCUCUUCACGGGCACCGGUGGCGGCACCGACAACACCGUCAACAACUUCGCAAGCAACCCAGCGGCGUUCAGCAGCGCCUUCGCCUCCGCCAUGGUGAAGAUGGGGAACCUUAGCCCGUUGACUGGCUCUCAGGGCCAGGUCAGGAUCAGCUGCUCCAAGGUGAAUUAA
This 939-nucleotide ribosomal RNA is filed under the name Triticum aestivum (bread wheat). Its description in RNAcentral is "partial small subunit ribosomal RNA". Lineage: Eukaryota; Viridiplantae; Streptophyta; Magnoliopsida; Poales; Poaceae. The record is from RNAcentral.